RNAcentral lists this ribosomal RNA (465 nucleotides) under Vreelandella stevensii. RNAcentral's name for it is "partial 16S ribosomal RNA". It matches the Rfam family "Bacterial small subunit ribosomal RNA", at positions 338 to 795 of the family's 1533-position model. The record is from RNAcentral. Lineage: Bacteria; Pseudomonadati; Pseudomonadota; Gammaproteobacteria; Oceanospirillales; Halomonadaceae.
CCUACGGGGGGCAGCAGUGGGGAAUAUUGGACAAUGGGGGCAACCCUGAUCCAGCCAUGCCGCGUGUGUGAAGAAGGCCCUCGGGUUGUAAAGCACUUUCAGUGAGGAAGAACGCCUGGUGGUUAAUACCCAUCAGGAAAGACAUCACUCACAGAAGAAGCACCGGCUAACUCCGUGCCAGCAGCCGCGGUAAUACGGAGGGUGCGAGCGUUAAUCGGAAUUACUGGGCGUAAAGCGCGCGUAGGUGGCUUGAUAAGCCGGUUGUGAAAGCCCCGGGCGCAACCUGGGAACGGCAUCCGGAACUGUCAAGCUAGAGUGCAGGAGAGGAAGGUAGAAUUCCCGGUGUAGCGGUGAAAUGCGUAGAGAUCGGGAGGAAUACCAGUGGCGAAGGCGGCCUUCUGGACUGACACUGACACUGAGGUGCGAAAGCGUGGGUAGCAAACAGGAUUAGAUACCCCGGUAGUC